Molecule: long non-coding RNA, 261 nt
Filed under: Sorghum bicolor (sorghum)
Lineage: Eukaryota; Viridiplantae; Streptophyta; Magnoliopsida; Poales; Poaceae
Description: long non-coding RNA (SBIC_LNC000148)
Source: RNAcentral
GGGGCCUCCAGGUAGGGAAAGCCGCACUGGAGAACCGUAGAUUAAACAAAGUAGUUAUUAUUUCCCUUAUCUUCUAUUCUUGAGUGAAUUUGCUUGAUGGUUUGUGGUCAAAGACCAUUUUCUUGGCUAUUUAAGCCCUCUCCUUGGCGGUUUUUUACACUCAAAGCAAUUCAGAAUUGUGGUAAUAAUGGUUUUAGAGUAUCUUUAGCUCUUUCCUUAUCAUAUUAGUAGUUCACCGAUUAGUAGGCUUACCUUCGUUAC